UGGGGAAUAUUGGACAAUGGGCGAAAGCCUGAUCCAGCCAUGCCGCGUGUGUGAAGAAGGUCUUCGGAUUGUAAAGCACUUUAAGUUGGGAGGAAGGGCAGUAAGCGAAUACCUUGCUGUUUGACGUUACCGACAGAAUAAGCACCGGCUAACUCUGUGCCAGCAGCCGCGGUAAUACAGAGGGUGCAAGCGUUAAUCGGAAUUACUGGGCGUAAAGCGCGCGUAGGUGGUUCGUUAAGUUGAAUGUGAAAGCCCCGGGCUCAACCUGGGAACUGCAUCCAAAACUGGCGAGCUAGAGUAGGGCAGAGGGUGGUGGAAUUUCCUGUGUAGCGGUGAAAUGCGUAGAUAUAGGAAGGAACACCAGUGGCGAAGGCGACCACCUGGGCUCAUACUGACACUGAGGUGCGAAAGCGUGGGGAGCAAACAGG
This 428-nucleotide ribosomal RNA is filed under the name Pseudomonadota bacterium. Its description in RNAcentral is "Proteobacteria bacterium partial 16S ribosomal RNA". It matches the Rfam family "Bacterial small subunit ribosomal RNA", at positions 355 to 776 of the family's 1533-position model. The record is from RNAcentral. Lineage: Bacteria; Pseudomonadati; Pseudomonadota.